GAUGAACGCUGGCGGCGUGCCUAAUACAUGCAAGUCGAGCGAACGGACGAGAAGCUUGCUUCUCUGAUGUUAGCGGCGGACGGGUGAGUAACACGUGGAUAACCUACCUAUAAGACUGGGAUAACUUCGGGAAACCGGAGCUAAUACCGGAUAAUAUUUUGAACCGCAUGGUUCAAAAGUGAAAGACGGUCUUGCUGUCACUUAUAGAUGGAUCCGCGCUGCAUUAGCUAGUUGGUAAGGUAACGGCUUACCAAGGCAACGAUGCAUAGCCGACCUGAGAGGGUGAUCGGCCACACUGGAACGGAGACACGGUCCAGACUCCUACGGGAGGCAGCAGUAGGGAAUCUUCCGCAAUGGGCGAAAGCCUGACGGAGCAACGCCGCGUGAGUGAUGAAGGUCUUCGGAUCGUAAAACUCUGUUAUUAGGGAAGAACAUAUGUGUAAGUAACUGUGCACAUCUUGACGGUACCUAAUCAGAAAGCCACGGCUAACUACGUGCCAGCAGCCGCGGUAAUACGUAGGUGGCAAGCGUUAUCCGGAAUUAUUGGGCGUAAAGCGCGCGUAGGCGGUUUUUUAAGUCUGAUGUGAAAGCCCACGGCUCAACCGUGGAGGGUCAUUGGAAACUGGAAAACUUGAGUGCAGAAGAGGAAAGUGGAAUUCCAUGUGUAGCGGUGAAAUGCGCAGAGAUAUGGAGGAACACCAGUGGCGAAGGCGACUUUCUGGUCUGUAACUGACGCUGAUGUGCGAAAGCGUGGGGAUCAAACAGGAUUAGAUACCCUGGUAGUCCACGCCGUAAACGAUGAGUGCUAAGUGUUAGGGGGUUUCCGCCCCUUAGUGCUGCAGCUAACGCAUUAAGCACUCCGCCUGGGGAGUACGACCGCAAGGUUGAAACUCAAAGGAAUUGACGGGGACCCGCACAAGCGGUGGAGCAUGUGGUUUAAUUCGAAGCAGCGCGAAGAACCUUACCAAAUCUUGACAUCCUUUGACAACUCUAGAGAUAGAGCCUUCCCCUUCGGGGGACAAAGUGACAGGUGGUGCAUGGUUGUCGUCAGCUCGUGUCGUGAGAUGUUGGGUUAAGUCCCGCAACGAGCGCAACCCUUAAGCUUAGUUGCCAUCAUUAAGUUGGGCACUCUAAGUUGACUGCCGGUGACAAACCGGAGGAAGGUGGGGAUGACGUCAAAUCAUCAUGCCCCUUAUGAUUUGGGCUACACACGUGCUACAAUGGACAAUACAAAGGGCAGCGAAACCGCGAGGUCAAGCAAAUCCCAUAAAGUUGUUCUCAGUUCGGAUUGUAGUCUGCAACUCGACUACAUGAAGCUGGAAUCGCUAGUAAUCGUAGAUCAGCAUGCUACGGUGAAUACGUUCCCGGGUCU
Molecule: ribosomal RNA, 1372 nt
Filed under: uncultured bacterium
Lineage: Bacteria
Description: bacterial SSU rRNA
Rfam family: Bacterial small subunit ribosomal RNA
Source: RNAcentral